RNAcentral lists this long non-coding RNA (3087 nucleotides) under Spirodela polyrhiza (greater duckweed). RNAcentral's name for it is "long non-coding RNA (SPOL_LNC001932)". Lineage: Eukaryota; Viridiplantae; Streptophyta; Magnoliopsida; Alismatales; Araceae. The record is from RNAcentral.
CUUACAGAGAGAGAGAGAGAGAGAGAGUAGAGAGAGAGAGAGAGAGGUCUCUGCGUCUGCUCCUGCUCGCCCUGCCUGGUUGAUAUAGAGGGUCGAGAUCGGUGCUUCCUCUGCGGUGGUUGGAUUUUGUGUUGAUUCCUGAGCGUGGCUGGUGGAGCGGCCGGAGGAGAUCGGCUGCAAGAAGCAAUCCGGGAGGGAGGACAGAAGACGGAGGCCUAGUGGUGCUCGACGAGGUUUUUUUCUUCGUCCUUUUUUCUACUCUCUCUCAUCGGAAUUUUCGUGUUGCAAUUCAAUUGGGACCUGGAUCCCCGGGGUCCUUGCUCAUUUCAAACGCGAGUUCUGUCUGGGGUAGCAGCCGGUGACGAUAACGACACCGGUGCUUGACGGACGUGGUCAGGAUUCCGAUUGAACAUGCUUGUCAGUCGUACCAUAUCCGAUCCCUCCUCUUGGUUGAAUAGGCGCCGCUAUCUUUUUUUUCUUCCGGUUUCUGUCGCGAGGAUUAGCUCCUAAUACUGACUUCAGGCGUUUGGGAUCCCCUUUGUUCCUUAUGAAAUUAUUGGCUUGCCCGGGAUUCCGUUCGUCAUCGUUGUUUAUUUUCCUUUGGUCUCUUAUUCGGUAUGGUAUCUUCGUUGUGAUAUCUUUAUAUUACGAGGGGUUUUGCGCAGAGGCUCGCUGAUUUGCUUUUAUCUAUGUUUCUUCUCUCCGAUGAGUCUAUGACAAGAGGGCAUAUAAUUCCGCUUGAAUUGAGUAUCAAAAGAAUUCAAUCGCUCGGAGCAUCAUUUGUGAAUACCUUUUGUCUCCCUACACACGCAGGGACAGCUUGAUACAUUGUUAUCAAUCCCCAUACACGCCUAGUCAUAGUCAAGCCUUCCUCACAGGACAUAAAAAAAUGAGAAGAGGAUUAACUUCAAAGAAUUUAACUGAUCAUACAUACACUCACAUGUGGAAGAAAGUAUGUAAGGGUGAAAGAAAUUUUCUGAAGGUUCUUUCAGUUGAGAAGAUCUUGGACAGCUUCUGACGAUCAGUCCUUUGCCAAAUUAUUUUGUCUACUUCGCCAAACUAUUUGAAGUUUUCUGCAUGCCAAUAAUGAUUUCCUAAUUUUCGAGUAACAUUAGGGCCAUCUUUCCUCAUACUCUCGUUUUUGGCAUGCUAUUGUAAAGUAGCCGAAAUAGAUAUAUUCGAGUUUCUAGGAUGCCAAAGGCUUCUGUGCUUCCAGGAGUCGAAGAGGUUGGUCCGAACUUCCUGUUGAUUGAAAUAUUCCAUGUGACCAUCGAGUACAAUUUUCAUUUUAGGAAAAUUUGUUCCUUUUUCUAUCCUUAAAAUACUGCAUUUUCCAUAUCCCAUUAAGACAGAUAUUGGGAAAUUGUAAGAGCUCCAAUUUCCCUGUCCACGUGGAGGAAAUUCCUGUUUUUGGAGAGAGAGAGGAACUUCUAGUUUCCUACUCUUGUAAUUAUUGUGCCGAAUGACUGUUUUCGGAUGGGCUGCUUUGAUCAUCCUUGAUGUUUAUUGGUCACUAUCCAAAAAAGACUUUUCUAAAAUUUCUAGUAAACUGUCCUCCAUAGUGACAUCCGUUUCUGCUUAAUCACAUGUAACCUUUUAUUGCUUCUGUUCUUCCCCUUGCUCUGAGUGACACUUGGAAGAAAGUUUUGACUAGUCCGAUUAAUUUCAUAUCAAGUAGGAGGGAAUAUAGGAUACAAACAUCAUGCGUAGGGAGUCUAGAGAUUGUGAGAUUCACGAUUGUGAUCCCCUCUAGGCAUGCCUAUAAUGUGGAGGCAUUCUCAAAUGAGAAACUGUGGAUUCCCAAAGCUGUAGCUUGUUCUUUGUGCUAGGGACUCUGGCUUCUGUUGGGAUUUGUUCACUCCUGCUUUGGCUCAUUUUGCAAAUUUAAGACUUGGCUCUGGUAAUUGGGAAGCCUUUUAGAGUAAAAAGGGAUUUUCAAUGGGGUCAUCAUUAGCUUUACAGGAUUUUUCCUUGUUACAUGCAGAGUGAUAAUGCAGAGCAAUUCAACUAAUUGUUUACCAUUUGGAUGAAGUACUUCAACUCAGAUCUGGUUAAAGUGCUUGGCAACAAGUCUGGCAUACUUUCGUUCUUGCUGUGGAUGAUUUUGCGAAUUCAUACCCAAAAAAAGUUAUCUUUUGAAUGCCCGUCAUUGUGAAAACCAGUCUCAGCAAUUUCCCAUCUUCAGCUUGACAGGUCAGCUGUAUUAUUCAUAGAUGCAGAUUGGAAAUAUGGAGCCAUGUUAAUUAAUGGCUGACCAUUAUACUUACCUCCGCUAAGAUUUAAGAUUUUCUGGCUUGGUUCCGAGAAGGAGCGGAAGAAACACACCCACUUUUUUUGUAAGAACGCGAAAAUGAGUGAUAAUCGCGCAAUGCCGGUGCUCAUUGAUCCAUUUUUGAAGAAAUCAUCCUGCUUUGAAGAAUAAAUUCCACGUUAAAAUUUUAUGUUUUUUUCCUAAAAUCUACCUUCUUGAUGACACAUUAUGGCCUACCUUUUCCUAUUCUUCUUCAAUCAUUUGCGUGGAAUCAUGAAAUUUCUAGUGUCAACCAUCUCUAUGAGGUCCAUCUGAUUACUAGUAUCUUGCAUAGUUGGUUGAUGCAAUCUCACCUGCUCAUGACUCUUUGGCCAAAAAGCACCAUAAAUUUUUGACACGACCACAAUCCCUGAGUCAACGUGAAUUCAAAGAUGAAUGCUUGAAUCUAUGCUCUAAUCGAAAAUAUUUUUGAGCUCCUCCUCAUGCGCAACAUGUAAAGGAUGCCGGUUUUCCACUAUGAUUAGAAGCAUAAUCAUCCCCAUGAUUGAACUUGUCAUGCGAUAUUUAUUGGCUGUUUAUUCCAUUUCAUCGCAAACUUUAUGGAACAACCACGUUUAUGAAUCAUAUGAGACUCAUAUCUGUGCCAUUCAUUGUCUAGGAUCUUCCUCAGCGCGCAGGAGCCGCCGCCAAUCCCCAUGUGAGCGCCAUCCCUGAUCGAGACCGAUCCGCCCGGCCUGCUCCCCUUCCAUCUCUUCCGGAAGAAAAGCUUCCAUAAAAGGAAAAAUAAAUGAUCUCAAAUUCGAGCCCCUCGAAGACCUUCACACCCCCCGAGACCU